GUAGAUGAUCUGCCUUUUGGUUGGGGAUAGCCUGUGGAAACACAGGGUAAUACCGAAUAAGGUUCGACGGCUUUGGCUGUAGAAAGAAAGGGGCGUAUGCCUCGCCAGAAGAUGAGUCUGCGUCUGAUUAGCUAGUUGGUGGGGUAAAGGCCUACCAAGGCGACGAUCAGUAGCCGGCCUGAGAGGGUGUACGGCCACACUGGGACUGAGACACGGCCCAGACUCCUACGGGAGGCAGCAGCUAAGAAUCUUCCGCAAUGGGGGCAACCCUGACGGAGCGAUGCCGCGUGGAUGACGAAGGUCGAGAGAUUGUAAAGUCCUUUUCUGGAUGAGGAAUAAGCAUGGUAGGAAAUGACCGUGUGAUGACGUUAGUUCAGGAAUAAGCCCCGGCCAAUUACGUGCCAGCAGCCGCGGUAACACGUAAGGGGCGAGCGUUGUUCGGAAUUAUUGGGCGUAAAGGGCGUGCAGGCGGUUUGACAAGUCUGUUGUGAAAGACCGGGGCUUAACUCCGGGAGCGCGAUGGAAACUGUCAGACUAGAGUACUGGAGGGGGAGCUGGAAUUCCUAGUGUAGGGGUGAAAUCUGUUGAUAUUAGGAAGAACACCGGUGGCGAAGGCGAGCUCCUGGCCGCGUACUGACGCUGAGGCGCGAAAGCGUAGGUAGCAAACAGGAUUAGAUACCCUGGUAGUCUACGCUGUAAACGAUGUGCACUUGGUGUUGGCCUGUUUAGGGUCAGUGCCGAAGCUAACGCGAUAAGUGCACCGCCUGGGGGAGUAUGCCCGCAAGGGUGAAACUCAAAG
This 799-nucleotide ribosomal RNA is filed under the name uncultured bacterium. Its description in RNAcentral is "bacterial SSU rRNA". It matches the Rfam family "Bacterial small subunit ribosomal RNA", at positions 117 to 906 of the family's 1533-position model. The record is from RNAcentral.